AGUUUUCCAUUGACCUUAAUCACAGGACAUGCUUUAAGGGAUCACUUGUGUUCCAGACAAACUCUUCCUUUUCUCCACUGUGGAGUAGCAGUCCAAUUUCCCCUAGGUAGUCAGGAUUAAUUAUGCCAGUCGGCACAGUAACUCCCUUCUUUGCCUGUUGAUUUGGAGGCAUAAGGAGUCCAAAGUGGCCAGGUGGCAGUCUCAACUUCCAGUUCAAUAGAAUCAUUGUUGUGUCUCCUGGUGGAAACAUUCCUCCCUUCAGAACUAAGACCACUAAGCCAGCAGAGCAUAAGGUCAUGAGAAUAGGAAGCAAAAAUUUUGCUAGUGGGGCACUAGUGAUAAUAGUGGGUGUUUCUACUCUAUGAUUCCUGGAGCUGUGAAUCUUGGCUAUGGGAAGAAGAACACCAUACAUUGGACUCUGGUUCAGAGCAUAUAUACAGCCUUCUGGAUAACCUUGCUGCAGACCUACAAAGUAUUGCCGCUGAGCUGGCACUGUAACUGAGUCUUCAAAAGGCCAUUCCAUUGUACUUUCAAACCAGCUGCUUCAGGAUGGUGUGGAACACGACGUCGUAUUACCACAAAGGGAGCCAGCUGAAGGAAAAAGCCAAUGUCCUGCGGAGAGAAAAGCAGAGAAAUGGAGGCUGCUUGGCUCCUUGAGGACACCUUGAGCCACUCAUCGUACCACACCUGGAACCCACUACUUCUAGACUAACUAUUAUAUGAGAUAAUACAUUUCCUUACAUGUUUGAA
RNAcentral lists this long non-coding RNA (750 nucleotides) under Homo sapiens (human). RNAcentral's name for it is "HSALNT0212270". Lineage: Eukaryota; Metazoa; Chordata; Mammalia; Primates; Hominidae. The record is from RNAcentral.